AUGUGCGGAUCGGGCUCCAAUACC
This 24-nucleotide non-coding RNA is filed under the name Arabidopsis thaliana (thale cress). The record is from RNAcentral. Lineage: Eukaryota; Viridiplantae; Streptophyta; Magnoliopsida; Brassicales; Brassicaceae.